Molecule: unclassified non-coding RNA, 170 nt
Filed under: soil metagenome
Description: partial contains 5.8S ribosomal RNA, internal transcribed spacer 2, and large subunit ribosomal RNA
Source: RNAcentral
AACCAUUCUCACCUGCGGCUAGACCUGCGGAAGGAUCAUUAAUAAAUGUUACUUCGGUAACUUAAUUAAUCCCUAACACCUGUGCAUCUUGUCGCUUCGGCGUCAUUUUAUAAACAUCAGUGUAAUGAAUGUAACGUAUUAUAACAAAUACAACUUUUAGCAAUGGAUCU